GGACCCUACGCAGCUCCAUUACUCCCUGGCAGGCCGUAUUAACGAUCACGAUUCUGCUCCACUCCCUGACGAGUCACGACAGCGGACGCCGCUCCACUCUCCGUAACUGAUUCCACGUGGCGAGCCACGACGAUAGCUACGAUCCCACUCCACUAUCCUCCGCAAUGAAUUCCUCCUGACUCUGGGCGGCCCACUACCAGACGGUUACAGGCGUCGCUAUCAAUUUGUUGCCCCCUCCGUCUAUAAAAGGGGGAACCCCAGAUACGUUAUUCUAUAAGCUCUCGUUCUUU
This 290-nucleotide long non-coding RNA is filed under the name Elaeis guineensis (African oil palm). RNAcentral describes it as "long non-coding RNA (EGUI_LNC024987)". Lineage: Eukaryota; Viridiplantae; Streptophyta; Magnoliopsida; Arecales; Arecaceae. The record is from RNAcentral.